AACAAAUAAAUCUUCGUGUACAACAGAAGAUCACAACUCAGUUCUAGUUUCUUCAUCAGUUCUAGUUUCUUCAUCUUCCUUCUUUUCCAUGCUUUUUGCUUCUAUUAGUUUUUUGUUCUUCUUGAAGACUUGUAACCCAUUGAAUGAUAUCAUUGCACUUGAAGUUUCACUCUAUAAAAUUUUGGUUAAAAAAAAGGAUUAACUGUUUGAAAAUUAAUACAAAGUAUUGGUGAGAAUCAAAAUUAUCAUUUGUAAGUAGAUUUAGCAUAAAAUGACAGAAUACCUUUAUUUUAUGCUUCUCCAAACUAUGCAGGAAAACACACGGUUCCAAAUGAUCAGUUAGAUGCAUCUUUAAACUGAUUUUGGCCUGAUCUUAGGGGGUAUUAUUCAACCUUGUAUUUUAAUUGAUUUGGAUGUAUUUCAAAAUCUAGCGUUAUUUAAUGAUGUAUUUUAAAAACUACAGUAAAAUCUGUUGUUAUUGGAUUUAACAUUUGUUGGAUGUAUUUUAAAGUACUUUAAAACAAUUUUACAUCUAAAACACGUACAAACACAAUC
This 555-nucleotide long non-coding RNA is filed under the name Capsella rubella. RNAcentral describes it as "long non-coding RNA (CRUB_LNC003004)". Lineage: Eukaryota; Viridiplantae; Streptophyta; Magnoliopsida; Brassicales; Brassicaceae. The record is from RNAcentral.